RNAcentral lists this ribosomal RNA (393 nucleotides) under uncultured eukaryote. RNAcentral's name for it is "partial 18S ribosomal RNA". It matches the Rfam family "Eukaryotic small subunit ribosomal RNA", at positions 1470 to 1796 of the family's 1831-position model. The record is from RNAcentral.
CCCUUCGAUGUCCUGGGCUGCACGCGCGCUACACUGAUACAUGCAUCAAGCAGUUCACUGAAGAAAGCGAUUUGUUUCGCUUUGACACCUUGGCUGAUAGGCUUGGGGAAACUUUGAACUUGUAUCGUGAUGGGGAUAGAUGAUUGCAAUUAUUCAUCUUCAACGAGGAAUUCCUAGUAAACGCGGCUCAUCAAGCCGCAUUGAAUACGUCCCUGCCCUUUGUACACACCGCCCGUCGCUGCUACCGAUUGAAUGGUUCAGCAAGUUCUACAGACCGGUGCUUUCCCGUGGUUGGGGGGUUUUUUUUAAAAAUCUUUUCUCCUCCAUGUUUUGUUGUUAGUUGCUGGGAAGUGGCGCAAACUUGACCAUUUAGAGGAAGCAAAAGUCGUAACA